UACGGGGGGAGCAAGCGUUGUUCGGAUUUACUGGGCGUAAAGGGCGCGUAGGCGGCCAGCACACGUCAGUUGUGAAAUCUCCGGGCUUAACUCGGAAAGGUCAACUGAUACUGUGCGGCUAGAGUGCAGAAGGGGCAACUGGAAUUCUCGGUGUAGCGGUGAAAUGCGUAGAUAUCGAGAGGAACACCUGCGGCGAAGGCGGGUGGCUGGGCUGACACUGACGCUGAUGCGCGAAAGCCAGGGGAGCGAACGGG
This 254-nucleotide ribosomal RNA is filed under the name uncultured bacterium. RNAcentral describes it as "partial 16S ribosomal RNA". It matches the Rfam family "Bacterial small subunit ribosomal RNA", at positions 524 to 776 of the family's 1533-position model. The record is from RNAcentral.